UGAUCUAGUGGCGGACGGGUGAGUAACACGUGAGCAAUCUGCCUUUCAGAGGGGGAUACCGAUUGGAAACGAUCGUUAAUACCGCAUAACAUAAUUGAACCGCAUGAUUUGAUUAUCAAAGAUUUAUCGCUGAAAGAUGAGCUCGCGUCUGAUUAGCUAGUUGGUAAGGUAACGGCUUACCAAGGCGACGAUCAGUAGCCGGACUGAGAGGUUGAUCGGCCACAUUGGGACUGAGACACGGCCCAGACUCC
RNAcentral lists this ribosomal RNA (251 nucleotides) under uncultured Eubacteriales bacterium. RNAcentral's name for it is "uncultured Clostridiales bacterium partial 16S ribosomal RNA". It matches the Rfam family "Bacterial small subunit ribosomal RNA", at positions 88 to 339 of the family's 1533-position model. The record is from RNAcentral. Lineage: Bacteria; Bacillati; Bacillota; Clostridia; Eubacteriales.